Molecule: ribosomal RNA, 250 nt
Filed under: uncultured bacterium
Lineage: Bacteria
Also listed under: 1 other name
Description: partial 16S ribosomal RNA
Rfam family: Bacterial small subunit ribosomal RNA
Source: RNAcentral
UACGUAGGGGGCAAGCGUUGUCCGGAAUUACUGGGCGUAAAGGGCGAGUAGGCGGUUUUUUAAGUCAGAUGUGAAAGUUCGGGGCUCAACCUCGGAAUUGCAUUUGAAACUGGAGAACUAGAGUACUGGAGAGGUAAGUGGAAUUCCUAGUGUAGCUGUGAAAUGCGUAGAUAUUAGGAGGAACACCAGUGGCGAAGGCGACUUACUGGACAGAUACUGACGCUGAGGCGCGAAGGUGUGGGUAUCAAAC